This is a long non-coding RNA of Sinocyclocheilus anshuiensis, 247 nucleotides long. RefSeq lists it as uncharacterized. The record is from RefSeq and is a predicted model, not a curated record. The transcript is spliced from 3 exons. NCBI's taxonomy places the organism in Eukaryota, Metazoa, Chordata, Actinopteri, Cypriniformes, Cyprinidae.
AAGAUUGUGGUAGGAAAGACAAAGAGCGGAGCAGGAGGGAAGAGCAUGAACAACAUGGAAUGAAGAAGGCUAGGCACCCUGUUGAGAAACCUCCAGGCACCUCAGAUGAUGUUGACUCUGCCUUAGGAGGCUCAUUUCAAGGUAUGACGAGAAUAAAAGGUUUUUAACUACUUAUCUAUAUCAGGAACUAAGCAACCAUAACACACAAGUCAGAUCUUUAAUUUCAUUGUUUUAUUUACAAAUUGAU